CGCCACCAACACCACCCCUGACCGUCAUCCCCCGUCUCCGAUCUCGCGAGAUUUUCCGCCUGACAGGCCGGACCCUGCGCGAGACACGACUACAUGCGCGCGCGCGCGCCCUCACAGGAGCGCGCAAGGCUUGCUACGGGCAGAGUUGUCCCGGUGGCCCGGAGUUCCAGCCUCUGUCCAGCAUGGCCUCACUGAGUUCGCGGAGCUUCUAAUGCCACGCGGGCGUCAGGUGCAUUCAUUUCACCCCGGAGAUCUGAAGAAGAAGAGUUUAUCUGCAUUCCCCUUCCUUCCUGCUUCCCACCUCCAAAGCCCGCCACUGAUCCUGCGAAUAAGUUUGCCCUGAAGUGUGGAAUAUCCCAUUCCUGCACAACUCGGUUCUACACCCCCUCCCCCGUGGGAUUCAGAGUGGCAAGAGGAAAAACAGCAAGUCCAACUCCACAGGUUUGUAAGGAGCAGCCAGCUUUGAUUUGCCCUGCACGUCAUAGCUCAGAAAGUUUUGCUGCUCAUACAAUCCUCAGCAAAGACCAUCCAUUCAUUCCGGGAUUCCCCCAGCUCAUGGACACAGGUCGGUCUCUAACUACAGACAGCCUUCUUCUGGAAACUCUCACCAGCCUGAUUUCUAAACUCCCAGUCCACCUUCACAUUGUUUGCCUGUUUUCAGUGCCUUUCCUCUGCAGAUCUCUCAGUAGGCAGCCGUAAGGAGUCAGCAAAGGCUAACACGGCUGCCCUCAGCUGGAAACCUAGUGUAGUGCCUAUUACAUUUCUCCUGGAACCACUCCUUGUGAGAAAGGCAAUUCAAACUCUAUCUUAAGUGAGCAUCUACUUCCUUUUCAUCUGAGUUAUAAAAGAAUAGUGCCCCCUUUGGCUCAAAUCUAUGCAAUGUGGAGGAAGAAAAGGCAAGAGCUAAUCCUUGCCAUGAAUUCAUCAUUGUCAUCGUCACCAUUUCACCAUUAUCAGCAACAGACUCUAGAAACAACUUGGUGAAGGCUUGAAAAUAGAGGGUAGAGCAGAUAUAGGGCAGCCUUCUCAAGGAUAUCUCCUCCUUUUUUUGAAAAGAGAUGUUCUCUUUUUCUUGCAUCUUUAUUCUCAGUCCAUUUGCCCUACAGCCUCUGUGCUUCCAAGAUGAAGUUCUGAUAAGUGUCUGCUGUGAUAAGAUAAUAAGAGAGUCUAUCUAUGUAGCUUGGAAAUAAACACUGGAAUUGCUUCUCAAAAAUCCAGAUUGAUUUAAACACCCUCUGGCAAUGUUCUUUUGGCAUCCUCCCCAAUUUUAAAUAACUUGGGUCACAGUUUCCUCCACUCAUUGACUCAGCACUUCAGUGGCAAAGUGACCCUCUAAAUUUCACCUCAGCUAAGAUAGCUCCUCCACCUCCUAGAAGGAUAAUAUUGUGAAUUAAAUGCUGAUGCUGUUUCUGAUUUAGCACAUAUGCACCACCCACAGACAAUUUAUUCUAGACUUUCUUUUAAUGCCAGGGGCUUUAAGAUUACUGAUGAACAGAUCCCUCCCCCAUCCAAGCCCUCUAUUCACCCAGGAAUUUGCGAUGGAAAUAGUACUGUUGGCUGGAG
This 1563-nucleotide long non-coding RNA is filed under the name Homo sapiens (human). RNAcentral describes it as "HSALNT0239127". Lineage: Eukaryota; Metazoa; Chordata; Mammalia; Primates; Hominidae. The record is from RNAcentral.